GAUGAACGCUGACAGAAUGCUUAACACAUGCAAGUCAACUUGAACUUCGGUUUGGGUGGCGGACGGGUGAGUAACGCGUAAAGAACUUGCCUCACAGUUAGGGACAACAUUUGGAAACGAAUGCUAAUACCUGAUAUUAUGAUUUUAGGGCAUCCUAGAAUUAUGAAAGCUAUAUGCGCUGUGAGAGAGCUUUGCGUCCCAUUAGCUAGUUGGAGAGGUAACGGCUCACCAAGGCGAUGAUGGGUAGCCGGCCUGAGAGGGUGAACGGCCACAAGGGGACUGAGACACGGCCCUUACUCCUACGGGAGGCAGCAGUGGGGAAUAUUGGACAAUGGACCAAGAGUCUGAUCCAGCAAUUCUGUGUGCACGAUGAAGUUUUUCGGAAUGUAAAGUGCUUUCAGUUGGGAAGAAAAAAAUGACGGUACCAACAGAAGAAGUGACGGCUAAAUACGUGCCAGCAGCCGCGGUAAUACGUAUGUCACAAGCGUUAUCCGGAUUUAUUGGGCGUAAAGCGCGUCUAGGUGGUUAUAUAAGUCUGAUGUGAAAAUGCAGGGGCUCAACUCUGUAUUGCGUUGGAAACUGUGUAACUAGAGUACUGGAGAGGUAAGCGGAACUACAAGUGUAGAGGUGAAAUUUCGUAGAUAUUUGUAGGAAUGCCCGAUGGGGAAGCCAGCUUACUGGACAGAUACUGACGCUGAAGCGCGAAAGCGUGGGUAGCAAACAGG
This 725-nucleotide ribosomal RNA is filed under the name uncultured Fusobacterium sp. RNAcentral describes it as "bacterial SSU rRNA". It matches the Rfam family "Bacterial small subunit ribosomal RNA", at positions 28 to 776 of the family's 1533-position model. The record is from RNAcentral. Lineage: Bacteria; Fusobacteriati; Fusobacteriota; Fusobacteriia; Fusobacteriales; Fusobacteriaceae.